GCCAUAAAUGAUGACUCUUCAUCCCUUUUAAAGAGUUAAGUAGCAUUUUUUUUUUAAAUCCUUCAAAUAUAAAACAAUUUCAGAGACAAUAAAAAAAUUACAUUAAAAAAGGAAACCAACACUUACAUUUAUUAAAAACAAAUCACUGUAUGGAGAGAUAAUUGCUUAUAAUUUUUCAAAACUGACUGAAGAUAUCAAGCUGCAUGACUAAGAACUCCUACAGACUUCAAGCAAGACAGAUGCAAAGAAAACCACACCUAGAAACAUCAGAAUAAAACUACUGGGAAAAGUAUUAAAAUAAUCAAUGAGACACAAAAAUCGCUAGAUAAAAUACACUAUUUUCACAGACAUGAACAUUCACUAAUUACAAUAAUACAGACUUUGCAAAAUAACUUGUAAUUUCAAAACAAUUUCAAACAAAACCCCAAUGGGCUAUUUCAUACAUAUUAGGAUGUAUAUGAAAAAGGAAAGGGUUAUGAAAUGUGAAUAGUAUGAAAACACUCUUGAAAAAGAAUGAAGUGAGAUACUUGACCUACAACAUCAAAGUUUUUUAUAACAGUGUGGUGUAAGUGCACAUAGAGACAAAUGACCCAGAUAUAUGGAAGAGUCUAAACUUAGAUUCACAAUUAAACCCAUUCCAUUUCAGGGCUACAGUGCUAAAGUACGGGAAAAGGGGGUAAUUUUUAAAUGCUUCUUGGCAAUUGAUUACCCAUAUGGAAACAAGGAAUACAAUGGGAAUCAUACGGAAGCAAAUUUCAGGUAGUUUACAUUCUGUGAAAAGUAGGACUUAGAGCACAGAGAGAAAAAAUAAGACUAUCUUAUAUACUUUAGGAUUAGUAAAAGAUUUCUUAAAAUAUAAAAAGCACAAACUGUAAAAUUUAGCUCCAUAAAAAUUUUAAAACUUAGACAACAAACUGGAAGUAUUUGCCCCACAUUAACCAGAAAAAGGGUUAUAAAUAAUGCAUAUUUUUAAAAGAAUGAGUAUAAAUAGGCACUUCACAGAAUCGUAAAUGCCCAGACAUGAACAAAAGAAGUGUUUACUUUUACUUGUAAUUACGGAAACAUCGGAAUGAGACACCCUUAAAGAAAAUUUCAUUCUAUAAAAAGGCAACUUGGAAAAGGGAAAUUUCAACUCAGGAGCAGAGGCAGGCCCUUUCAGGGGGUUGGGGGCUGGAAUCUAGGGUUAACAUCAAAUUAAAAGCUAACUGCUAGAGUCACAGGGAGGAGAGGACUUUAAAUUGCUCGGAAUGUUAGUGGUUAUAGCAGAACUCUUGGAAACCUCACAGGUGAACACUAGCAGGCAGCCAGAUCACUGCAGUGGGUGGAUGGGUAUCUGUUUCAAGUUGGCUUCUUGGAGGUUUCUUACAGACAUCACAGCUCAGUAAGCAGGGGGUGGGGUAGGUGCUCUCUCUUGUGGCCUGCUCCCCUCGGAAAGGCAGGGCUCGGGGGCAUCCAGUUGAGGCAGCAAGGCUGGCCUAACUCUAGGAGGACUAGGCUUGGAGUUGAAGCUCAGGUGAACCAACUCAUCGUCAUGGCAGGGGAGAGCACUUCCAGACAGAAAACCCACUGAGGGAAGAGAGGGGCUCAGGCCAAGAGACCUUAAGGAGACACUCUCCACUCACUGCCCAGCAAAAUGAAAGGAGAAUGUGCCAAGAGACCCGGAUGAGGAGGCGCUAAUGCAGAUGGCAUUACCACCAGUGCCUAGGGGAAGACGAGCCUUCCUAAGGUCAAUCUAGGGGGGGGGAGCAAGACUCAAGAUAGAAAAUGGCGGCAGUGAAGCACCGUUCUUACCUGUGUUGGCUCAGGAGGACUGGGCCUGGCGUGGGGUCGUACCCGUGGAGAGCAGGGCCUGGCCAGGAUGCAGGACUCCAGACAGAAGCCUAAGAAAGGAGUGCGCCAGCUGGGCAGAGGUUUUGGAGUAAACGGCAGCAAGAGUCAGGCCUCUGAGUCCCGGAAGCUCAAAAAAACAGAGAGCAUGCUGGAGGAUCCCGGGUCUGGGCAAUCUCUUCCCCAUGGGGCCGCUUUUUGGCAUGCUUUCUCCCUAAACCAGGGUCGGCACUCGUCUGCUGACUGAGCCAGUGACGCUCGGCGAUGUAGCGGCUUCGCUCCCAGGUUCACGGGGUGAAUUCUGGCCCUUCUGCGCCUCCGUACCUCUGAGCUCUGAGUGAGAACUCCUGCAGCUGCGAAGACCAGACCUCCUUCACCUGCGCAGAGUUUAAAGAGAGCAGGUGUGGGCCGUCAGUGAUAAUGAAAAUGGAGGCAGCGGUGAAGGAAGCUUUCAGGAGCUGAGCUCAGUGGUAAAGGGUCACUUGUUCAGUCAUGUCAUACUCCUUGCAACCCAUGGACUGCAGCACGCCAGGCUUCCUUGUCCUUUACCAUUUCCCGGAACUUGCUCAAACUCAUGUCCUUUGAGUCAGUGAUGCCAUCCAACCAUCUCAUCCUCUGUCCUCCCCUUCUCCUCCUGCCUUCAAUAUUUCCCAGCAUCGGGGUCUUUUCCAAUGAGUUGGCUCGUUGAAUAAGAUGGCCAAAAGUAUUGGAGCAUCAGCUUCAGCAUCAGGAGGGUCACUUGAGAAUGGGGGAAUCUGGGCAUCAAGACCUGGGUUGCCAGUCCUGCUGGUAAGGGUAGCGACAGAGGAUACCUCCUUCUUAGGGCUACUGGCCGCCUCACCCUGCGUUAAUUUAAACUGCUACUGCUUCUCUCCUCUUUCCCCUAUCCUCAAUUAGGUAGUCACAAUGCCAGGUUCUCAGAAACAGAGAGGUCCUCCCCUGCAAACGCCAUCUCAGGUAGGCGGGGCUCUCGAGAUAAACAAUUUGAAUGACCUCACAUCAGCGUGUCAACAUCCUUUGGGUAGCUCAAGGUCAAGAAAUCACUUCAAAGAAAUACCACACUGGUCAGAAAGAAAGAAUCCCCUCACUGGGUCAUCCUCAUGGAGUCUGGUCAGAACACUGAGCCAACGAAUGGGAGAGACCUGGGACUCCUCCUAGCAUCUGGAUUACCCCACACUGAAUUGGUGUGGGUUAAAGAGUUAGAGCGUGGUUUCUGAAAGGGUAGAAAUGGGAUGGAGCCCACGUUGUUCUUGAAAUGUUCAGCCCUGCUGCCUCCAUAGACCCCUGGCACCAGAAGGCGUUUUAGACAUCUUCCUGGAAGACUGCUUCGGCCUACCUGGCUCCUUGAGGCAAAGGCAAGCGUUGCCUGAAAUAAAGAGUGGUACUGCCCUUAAGUAUGGGAGAAGGCAAUGGCAACCCACUCCAGGACUCUUGCCUGGAAAAUCCCAUGGAAGGAGGAGCCUGGUAGGCUGCAGUCCAUGGGGUCGCUAAGAGU
Long non-coding RNA from Bos taurus (domestic cattle), 3322 nucleotides. NCBI's taxonomy places the organism in Eukaryota, Metazoa, Chordata, Mammalia, Artiodactyla, Bovidae. The record is from Ensembl.